RNAcentral lists this non-coding RNA (92 nucleotides) under Tolypothrix bouteillei. RNAcentral describes it as "Glutamine-I sequence". It matches the Rfam family "Glutamine riboswitch aptamer (glnA leader)". Lineage: Bacteria; Bacillati; Cyanobacteriota; Cyanophyceae; Nostocales; Tolypothrichaceae. The record is from RNAcentral. RNAcentral also lists the same sequence under 1 other name.
AUCGUUCAUCUUUAUAAGAGGCUCGAAAAUAGAUUUUUCAGCGCAAUCUCUUGUAGAGACGGAAGUAGGGAAACAUCCCCAAGGAACGCGCC